Molecule: long non-coding RNA, 1616 nt
Filed under: Equus asinus (donkey)
Lineage: Eukaryota; Metazoa; Chordata; Mammalia; Perissodactyla; Equidae
Description: lncRNA (ENSEASG00005038784.1)
Source: RNAcentral
AGGGUAUGAUAAGAGAAUGGUAAUUCUUCAAAAUAUUAAAGAUAGAAUCACCAUAUAACCUGGCAAUUCCACUUCCGGGUAUUCAUCCAAAAGAUUUGAGAGCAAGGACUCAAACAGAUAUUUGCACACCCAUGCUCACAGCAGCGUUGUUCACAACUGCUUAAUGGUGCAAGCAACCCAGUCUGAAUGGAUGGGUGGAUAAACACAAUGUGAUGUGUACCUACCGUGGAAUAUUCUUCAGUAUUAAAGAGGAAGGAGUCCUGACAUGUGCUGCCACAUGGAUGAAGCUUGAGAACCUUAGAGUAAGUGAAAUACAUCAGUCACAAAAAGGGCAAAAACUAUCUGAUUAUAACACUUAUGGGAAGUAUCUAAAGUAGUCACAUUCCUAGAGACACACAAUGGGAUGGUGGUUGCUAGGGGCUGGGAGGUGGAGGGAAAUGGGGAGUUUCUGCUUAAUGGGAAUAGAGUUUCAAUUUGCGCAACUCGGAAAGACUUGUUGCUUUGUUUUUUUGACUAGAUGUCAAAAAAAAUCCCAUACUCCUAUUGUAGAAAAUACCCAGUGUGGUACCAGGACACACAGCAAACUCACCAGUGACUGCAGCAUUAAAGCCAGACAGGAUUGAGUGUUUGGGGAGGAAGUGACUCCACUGGGUGGGAAUAUCUCAUGGGCAUGGACCAGGUCAGUAGACUCCUUUCGUGACUCCAGCCUUCCUGACACAGAGAUGCUUACUCAGUGUUUGAGGAAUAAAUGAUUGCCCCUGUCACCUCAUCUAGGACCCACUUCUUUUCCUCUGCCCCAGACACUCACGCAGACUCUAAAGAAUCCCCCAUCUGGCAGGACCCACCAUCUAUGCUCUAGAUGAGGCUGUGACCCACUGAGGUCAAGCAGAAGCUCAGCAGCUCCCUGAUGUAGACAACAGGACUCAGAAAUGCAACUCAGAUGGGAAGCCCUUACAGACUCGCUGUGUCCCAUUCCUCACAUGUCCUCAGAGGUCCUGGUCCAGGCUCUGGUGCAGGAGGGAAGCCCCAAGAUGGGGGCAGGACACGGGGUCUGCUCCUUGUCUGCUCCCCUCUAAGAGGAUGUCAGGGUCUCUGGGCCGUGGAGUGUCCAUCCAUGCAGUGCAGAGGUGGGGCAAGCUCAGGCCUGCGGUUCCUCUUCUGUGAAGAACCGAGGUUGUGUGCUCCUCCCCAGCUUCCCACGGGUUUGCCCGCAACCUCCUCUCCCAAUAACCUUCUCCUUCUCUUUUCAGACACAGGACAGAUGCCCAGAAUCCUCCAUCUCAGAGAUGCUGCAGCUGCUGCUGCACCUGCUGUGGGCAGGAAUGUGAUGAGCCCAGGGCAGAGAGCCUAUGCUGAUAGCCCUCAUCAAGGACAAGUGAAAGACCAGGGUGUGGGGCAUUUCUCCAUUCUGAUGCGUAUCCAGUAAAACAAAGGACUAUCAGGAACUGGGACCAGAUGUCUGCCCCCAUGCUGAGACAAGCCGCCUCCCCCACCUGGAGAAUAGCUCCUUCUGUGAUGGGCCUGUAGUCUUUGUUCGGGAGAUGUUUCUUUUGGAUAUGAGUCGGCCAUCUUCCCUCUUGCUAGCAAGCUGUAAUAAAGUCCUUUCUCUCCUACCA